UGGGGGAUAUUGCACAAUGGGCGAAAGCCUGAUGCAGCGACGCCGCGUGGGGGAUGAAGGCCUUCGGGUUGUAAACUUCUUUUGCUCUGAACAAGGCGCCCCAUGGGUUGUGUUGAGUGUAGGGGUUGAUUAGCGCCGGCUAACUACGUGCCAGCAGCCGCGGUAAUACGUAGGGCGCGAGCGUUGUCCGGAAUUAUUGGCGUAAAGGGCUUGUAGGUGGCUGGUUGCGUCUGUCGUGAAAGCUCAUGGCUUAACUGUGGGUUUGCGGUGGGUACGGGCUGGCUUGAGUGCAGUAGGGGGGGCUGGAAUUCCUUGUGUAGCGGUGGAAUGCGCAGAUAUCAGGAGGAAUACCGGUGGCGAAGGCGGGUCUCUGGGCUGUUACUGACACUGAGGAGCGAAAGCAUGGGGAGCGAACAGG
This 418-nucleotide ribosomal RNA is filed under the name bacterium. RNAcentral describes it as "partial 16S ribosomal RNA". It matches the Rfam family "Bacterial small subunit ribosomal RNA", at positions 355 to 776 of the family's 1533-position model. The record is from RNAcentral.